RNAcentral lists this ribosomal RNA (329 nucleotides) under uncultured eukaryote. RNAcentral describes it as "partial 18S ribosomal RNA". It matches the Rfam family "Eukaryotic small subunit ribosomal RNA", at positions 1470 to 1796 of the family's 1831-position model. The record is from RNAcentral.
CCCUUAGAUGUCCUGGGCUGCACGCGCGCUACACUGACGGAGGCAGCGAGCGUGUCCUUCGCCGGCAGGUGCGGGCAAUCUUGCGAGUCUCCGUCGUGCUGGGGAUAGAUGGUUGCAAUUGUCGAUCUUGAACGAGGAAUUCCUAGUAAGCGCGAGUCAUCAGCUCGCGCUGAUUACGUCCCUGCCCUUUGUACACACCGCCCGUCGCUACUACAGAGUGCCCGUGUCCAAGAAACGGUCGGACCUGUGCGGCCUCUCCGGGCGACCGGAGGGCCGUUACGGGGAAGACCCUUUAUUUGACGCGGGUCGAUGAAGUAAAAGUCGUAACA